UGGAUAUUUUAAAUUACCGGUGACAAAAAAAAUGGAUAUUUUCACCUUCACAAACGGAACGAAACAGAAUUGAUUCAGUUUUACCAUUUACAGCGCACAAUUCGAUCCUUCGAUGGCAGUGACCAGGUUAGUUGGCCAAUGGUUGAGCAGAAUGCCAUGUGAUCUCUCUUUUUCUCCAAGGUGAUGGCUAUUGCUUGAUCAUCCUUAAUAACUUGCGCCACGUAAGGAGAUAACGAACAUGGGUGAGGCUUCGUUCAUGUUCGUUUGUAAAGGAAAUGAAGUUGUUCAAGUUUGUUUAUAUUUACCUAUACGCUAAAUGAACAUUUCACACAUGACACACGUGAAGUUGCGUGUGGAUACACACACAUAGAGAAGGGCAAAUUCAAUACAUAACUAAUUAUAAGGAGAGAAAUGUGAAAAUCGCAUAAUAUGCCUGUACGUAGUGCUAACCAAAUAUAACGUGAAAGAGAGGCUAGCAGGUGCAUAACCAAAUGAACAUAAUAAACAAACGUUCAUAAGUGUAAGCGAACACACAAGACAUGUUUUCAUAUUUGUUUGUCGAGUUAAAUUAACAAAAAAAUUAUUCCCCUUCUUGUACAUUUACUGAACGUUUGGUUCAUUUGCGUAAAUUUGACUGGUGCUCUAGAUAAACAAUUGCAUAAGAAAGUAACAAACUCUGAUGUGUUCUAGUAGAAAAGAUAAUUUUUUUUUUUGAACGGCCAACAAAUAUUAUUUAUUAAUCAAAGGGCCAACAACGUGUUAGCCCACACCAAGUUACAACCAACCAACUUUAAACAUGCCAAACUAGAUACAUUUUCUUGAUACAUCAAAAUUACACCACUCCUCCCAAGUUAUUUCUUUUAGUGCCGAGCGGCUACCAAUCCACAAGAAACCCAGUUGCUUGAUUUCGUACGUCAUCCGAUCAAGCUUCACUUGUUUGUCAUUGAAUACCAAGUCAUUCCUGCUUCGCCAAACUACCCAUAGUGCCACCUGCAUGAUUGCGUACACUAAUUUCCUCCAUUUUACACACCCCUGAACGUGUUUGUGCCAGUCUAGUAGAAAAGAUAAUUACUUUAGUUUUGAUUUAUGUUGACCAACUUUCAAACUUUUAAUUUAUGGUAAUAUCACCGGUCCCAAAUUAUGUAGGCAACCAUGAUAAUUAGUUGGAAUCAGAACUUUAACAAAAACUAAAUCAUUUUUACUUUCACUGUACCGGUAACAAUUUAGCGAUUAUAAAACUAUAAAAAAGAAAAGUUUAACCGGAUUGAGCAAAACAGAAAAUGAAAAGGAUAUGUAUGAAAAAAACAUAAACAAAACCAUUGAUGGUUUUAUUAACGGACCACAUUAAUUGAUUCAUGUGUAAUUAACGAAAACCGACAGAUACCAAGUACCCCACAAAUCUCUCAUAUCUGCAUAUAUGUAGCAACGUAUUGCUGUAAUGACAACUCCAAGUGUAUAUUAAUUACCAUUACCAAGUUAGUUUAAUUAGGUUUAAGUGGGAAUAGAAUAAUCAAUAAUAGUUAAGAUAUUGCAGGUCCCCAUGAAUAUGCCUUCUGGUUGAUUGUGUGUUUCUCAAUUAUUGGUGUUUUUGUUUUUUAAUAUUUGUUGCAUGCUGAAUUAAUUAUUUGUCUUUCAUAGACUUUAUUUAAUUUCAAGUAUGAUAGUGUACAAUUAUCCUAUAUGAGUCGAUAUAAAUAAUUUAAGGGGAUUUUAUGGGUGGUAAUAAUUGUGAGAAUUUAGAAAUAGCAAAUUUGAUUUUGUGUAGAAAGACAAAGAAGGACACGUGAGUAAGUAGGACCUUGUGUGUAUAGAUAAUUAGUUGUCAAAACCAAACACAGAAAGAAAGAAAGAUGAGAUAACAGCCCUUCAAUUAGGGAUCACAUGCAUUCACGGGCUAUACAGUUGAACCCCUUCUAUCUCUUUGUUUGUUAGCAACAUAAGGCCUCUAUCAUUUGAGCCUUAGCCUCUCACACAUUAUCAUUCCAUAUUAUAUUCAAUCCCUUUUCUGUCCAGAUAGUUUAUGAGCCUACGUGGUUCUGUUUCCCUGGGCUAAGGGAAAACUUAUUGACCGGUGCGUUUCUUACAAACCAACAAAACCGCGGUAAAUCAUUUGAAAAACCUAUUCGAACAAGAAUGCGUGUUGUAAAUAAUGUGAAUUUGAUCAUCUAAGGGAUCAACUUCUCGUAUUUGUAUUCCCGAGUAUUGUAUGCCAUUUCCAUCACCGUUGUCUUCACUUUUAGUUAACUCUAAAAAAUUAUCGUAAGCAUCAUGUAACAUCUGACCACUCAUACCAAUCAAAAUUAUUUAUUUUGUCUUAUACGAAUAGGUAAGGAUAUUAUGUUAAUUAUGUUAUGAAGUGUUUCAUUUUUAGUAUGAUGAUGUGUUUGUUACGUAGAGAGUGAGAGUGAAAUGUUGGUUUGAAUGUUUGAUUGAGUUGCAUAUUUAAUGGUUCCCGUGAGUGUGUUUUGGAUGUUGUUUAUUAUACAUCUAAUUCUAAUCAUAAAAAGCAGACGGUUGGUAGAAUAUUUUAGUCACUCAAUACAAGGGAUUUGCAACCCUCUCACCCAUGGUUUUCGUUAAUUUGUCUUUGUGUGCAAAUCCAACCCAACUAACUAAUCAUUUAGACGUCAUUAUGCUUUAAAUCCAGGAAUAUGCAGGUUGUUUCGACUUAGUUUACUUUAGGCUAAUGCGAAGUCAACAUCACCUAUGCGCCACCUCAUAUGGGGACUUUAAAGCCCAUUUCUUUAACAUCGUUUAAAGCCACCAUCAUCAUUAUUUAAAUUAAGUAUAUUAAUUUAAAUUCAAAUAACAUGAAC
This 2816-nucleotide long non-coding RNA is filed under the name Helianthus annuus (common sunflower). Its description in RNAcentral is "hypothetical non coding rna". The record is from RNAcentral. Lineage: Eukaryota; Viridiplantae; Streptophyta; Magnoliopsida; Asterales; Asteraceae.